RNAcentral lists this ribosomal RNA (150 nucleotides) under uncultured archaeon. RNAcentral's name for it is "partial 16S ribosomal RNA". It matches the Rfam family "Archaeal small subunit ribosomal RNA", at positions 318 to 473 of the family's 1478-position model. The record is from RNAcentral.
GAUUACGGGGAGCAGCAGGCGCGAAAACUUUGCAAUGCACGAAAGUGUGACAAGGGAACUCCAAGUGCUUAUACAAUGUAUAGGCUUUUGCUAAAUGUAAACAGUUUGGCGAAUAAGUGGUGGGUAAGACGGGUGCCAGCAGCGCGGUAA